Papaver somniferum (opium poppy) is the source of this 625-nucleotide long non-coding RNA. RefSeq lists it as uncharacterized. The transcript has 3 exons. Lineage: Eukaryota; Viridiplantae; Streptophyta; Magnoliopsida; Ranunculales; Papaveraceae. The record is from RefSeq and is a predicted model, not a curated record.
UAUCUCACCAGUUUGAGUAAAUGAGUGUUUAGGAAUUCUCUUAAGUUCCAAGCCAAUGACUUAGUUGAAUAUGUCAUAGAAUUUCAUUGGAUUGAACCAAAAAAUAAAAAAAAAAAAAAAAAAAAGUAAAUCAUCAGUGCCCCUAACCUUGGUUUUGAAAAGUUAGAAGUUUUCCCAUGAAAAAAAAAGAUAUUGAAUUAGAUUUUUUUAUUGCAUUUGCAAGUAAUACUUGAACUGCCACUUUUCUGUGUGCAGGCGCUCUAUUUUUGUGUUCCUUUUCGUGAACAAUUGCUUGUUAAUUAUGCAAAUAACAAAAAUCCUGGUGAUCCAGAAGAGAACCUUUUGACAUGUUUGGCAGAUUUGUUCACUCAGUGACGUCUGAGGAUAAAGAAAAUAGGGAAAAACUUUACGAGUUUAUAAAGGGAGUCAAUGAUCAAGAAGAAGUCUCUGGAGAAAAAUCGGGCGACUAAGUCGGACAAAAAUCGGUUCUGAUAUUGAUGCUUGAGGAAGCUUUGGGAUGUUGGAGUGGUUUUUCCUAAUAUUCUUCCUUUCUCUCUUCUUUAAGAUUUCUACACAACUUUUGAUGUCUGAAUUACAUGAGAUGUUAUAAAACCCUACUUUGCAG